UUUGGUACAUUAAACAGAGAGCUUGUCUGGCCACAAGGCCAGCUCUAUAAUUAGCUAGUCUAGGGAUACAUUUAAAUUCAACAGCAGUAAAUAGAACAGAUAGAAGGUGGAUGUCGUUGAGAAGAACAGCGAUCUCUAAAUGUUUUCCUCUUGAAUUCACAAGGUUAAUGAGAAUCUAAGAGUCUGAAAAGAUCAAAAGAGCGUUAAUCCAGCACUGAAGAGCAGAGAUCAUGGCGUUUCGUAACGCCAAAGUUUCCGCAGUAAGAGACGAUGCCACAAAGGAGGCAGUCGCUGAAAAAAGUCUUUUCUGGAAAGGAAGAAAGACAAAAGUGAUAUCUUCCCUCAUGGGAAGGAGGAUGAAGAUGAUCUCUCCCA
Molecule: long non-coding RNA, 375 nt
Filed under: Brassica napus (rape)
Lineage: Eukaryota; Viridiplantae; Streptophyta; Magnoliopsida; Brassicales; Brassicaceae
Description: long non-coding RNA (BNAP_LNC019136)
Source: RNAcentral